RNAcentral lists this ribosomal RNA (273 nucleotides) under uncultured bacterium. RNAcentral describes it as "partial 16S ribosomal RNA". It matches the Rfam family "Bacterial small subunit ribosomal RNA", at positions 524 to 796 of the family's 1533-position model. The record is from RNAcentral.
UACGUAGGGGGCAAGCGUUAUCCGGAAUUAUUGGGCGUAAAGCGCGCGUAGGCGGCUUGUUAAGUCGGAUGUGAAAGGCUACGGCUCAACCGUAGAGCGGCAUUCGAAACUGGCAGGCUUGAGUGCAGGAGAGGUGAGUGGAAUUCCCGGUGUAGCGGUGGAAUGCGUAGAGAUCGGGAGGAACACCAGUGGCGAAGGCGACUCUCUGGCCUGUAACUGACGCUGAGGUGCGAAAGCGUGGGGAGCAAACAGGAUUAGAAACCCCGGUAGUCC